Molecule: transfer RNA, 72 nt
Filed under: Apaloderma vittatum (bar-tailed trogon)
Lineage: Eukaryota; Metazoa; Chordata; Aves; Trogoniformes; Trogonidae
Rfam family: tRNA
About the family: Transfer RNA (tRNA) molecules are approximately 80 nucleotides in length. Their secondary structure includes four short double-helical elements and three loops (D, anti-codon, and T loops).
Source: Rfam by way of RNAcentral
GGCUGGUUAGCUCAGUCAGUUGAGCAUGGUGCUAACAACGCUAAGGUCGCGGGUUCAAUUCCUGUUCGGUCC